Long non-coding RNA from Hemicordylus capensis (graceful crag lizard), 376 nucleotides. RefSeq lists it as uncharacterized. Lineage: Eukaryota; Metazoa; Chordata; Lepidosauria; Squamata; Cordylidae. The transcript has 3 exons. The record is from RefSeq and is a predicted model, not a curated record.
AAUACUGGAUUCAACCAUCUGUUGUUCUUGUUUUAAAAAUUAAAUAACACAGAAAUUGUAUUCACAGAGAAUGUGGAAGAAAAGCAAAGUUGUAUCAGAGAAUCUCAGGGAAGUGAUGUAAACCCCAGAAAAACUUCUGCUCUCUUUUUGCAAAUUAAAUCUGUACGAUCGGACACAGAGAGUGUGAGGUGGAAUCAGAGAGAGGUGGAGGCAGAAAGGAAUGGGAGGAAAAUGAUACGGAGAAAAUGGAGUUGUUUCUGAACAAACUCUUAGCGGGUUAUCAACUCGCCUUCUUCCACUUUGAAGAAUCACCCUGCCAGGCCAGCCUGGCUCAAGACCCAACAUUUCCAUGAUACAAAUGAUUGACUAAAGUUGU